ACGCUGCUGUGUGGAAACGCUGAUUCCGUAUCACACUGCCACUGCUUCCGCAUUGCUCAACUCCAUGCUCUCUGCCUCUCUUCGCAGCACCAAGUUGGAGUCCUGAAGGGAGAAUCAAGUUGUCAAUUCUUCAUAUGGGCCGAUAUACUUUAGCUGAUAGAGGAGAAAUUUAUAACAAGAGAGAAUGCACUCCGAAAUAGAGAGGAUGAUUUAUUGUUGCGUGAGUAUGAUGUGUCAAGAAAAGAAGAUAAACUAAUACAAAGAGAGAACGAUUUGAACAUCCAAGAGGAGGAAGUUCGAAGGCAGGUCGUAGAGAAUAGAUGUGGUCGUAUAUUAUUGUGUCUGUAUUGGGUUUGUUAUAUUGUAAUAGUUUUUGGUUUGUUCGGAUGAUAGAUGUAUCGACUGUUAUUGUAAUUGCAGAAUUCUCUAUGAAUAUUUUGUAAUUA
Juglans microcarpa x Juglans regia is the source of this 446-nucleotide long non-coding RNA. RefSeq lists it as uncharacterized. The transcript is spliced from 2 exons. The record is from RefSeq and is a predicted model, not a curated record. Lineage: Eukaryota; Viridiplantae; Streptophyta; Magnoliopsida; Fagales; Juglandaceae.